RNAcentral lists this ribosomal RNA (300 nucleotides) under Triticum aestivum (bread wheat). RNAcentral describes it as "partial small subunit ribosomal RNA". Lineage: Eukaryota; Viridiplantae; Streptophyta; Magnoliopsida; Poales; Poaceae. The record is from RNAcentral.
AUGGAGAUUCUACUAUACAUUGUUAACGUCUUAGUGUAUUUGGUGUCAUUUAGUUCGUUACACCUGCUGUUCAAUAUAUCGGCGGCAGCAUGGAAAUUUAACAUGAGUUUUUUUUCCUUACAUAUUGAAACUAAGCUAGCUGUUAUAAGCAUGAAAUUAGAAAGAAUAUUAACUAUAAUACCACGUUUUUAUUUUAAAUACGAAAUAAUAUCUACUGUACAACUUAAAUAUCUUAUAUGGAAAAUGUACGACCUAAUAUGUCUUUUGGCAUUUGGAAUCCAGCUAAAGGCUACCAGAUAA